Molecule: small nuclear RNA, 97 nt
Filed under: Choloepus hoffmanni (Hoffmann's two-fingered sloth)
Lineage: Eukaryota; Metazoa; Chordata; Mammalia; Pilosa; Megalonychidae
Source: RNAcentral
GUGCUCACUUUGGCAGCACAUAUACUAAAAUUGGAACAAUUAGCAUUGGUCCCUGCAUAAGGAUGACAUGCAAAUUCAUGAAGUGCUCCAUGUUUUU